UAAAUCUAUUGAACAUCGUGUU
RNAcentral lists this non-coding RNA (22 nucleotides) under Arabidopsis thaliana (thale cress). The record is from RNAcentral. Lineage: Eukaryota; Viridiplantae; Streptophyta; Magnoliopsida; Brassicales; Brassicaceae.